This 2241-nucleotide long non-coding RNA is filed under the name Patiria miniata (bat star). Its description in RNAcentral is "uncharacterized LOC119719401". Lineage: Eukaryota; Metazoa; Echinodermata; Asteroidea; Valvatida; Asterinidae. The record is from RNAcentral.
UCGGCCCGCCGUACUGUCUGCCGUGGUACGUUUUUGCUCAUCGUCAUCAUUACUUAUGCACGCUGUGCUAUAAAAAGCCUGCAUAAAUAUUCCUCACUGCCUUCCAUGUUCCAUUCAGCAUUGACACGCGUAUUGUUUCAUGAAUAUUAAUUCAUGAAUUGACUCGUGACACAAAUUCUCCCACAUCCGAGAGUACCAGCAAACAGAGUGCCAGUAAAUUCCUGCAACUGGAAGCAUUCGAGAGAUCAUCAAUUUCUGCAAAUAUCGUCACACCAGCACGCUUUUGCCUUCGAAAUUGCCAGUAUUUUCCUUGCAUUUUUUACACACGCAACGAAAGAAGGAAAUCGACUCAUCCGCCCAAGGGAAGCAUCCGUUGACCUUCAAUACGCUGUAGACUGUGAACAUUGCUACAUGAAACCAUGGAGUGGAGUAACGGCAAGAAGAUAGCCAUUGGGGUGUGUGUCCUGGUCAUAGUUGCUGGCAUCGUGGCCGCUGUGGUCGUCACACAAGUCGUCAAUAAAUAAUGCUGGACAAAUAAGACUGCAAGAAGGACUGAGGAUUGGAUCUUCAGAGGCUAGAACGAAGACUGGAGUUCCCGGCAGAGGACGCCCUCUUGAGACAAUGACUUCAAGGGUGCGGAAGGAGCCAUCAAGUUGAUGGAGUAGCAGCUGAUUUUAGGGAUGGGAGGGGCGUCACUAUUUUUAUGGGUAGGGGCUAAAAUGGGCUGAUGUUACUCUAAUGUAACCCUUCCAGCUAUAUUUUAUUGAGCCCGCCAUUUAUUGUCUUUUUUUAUAAUCGCAAUAGCAGGAUUUUUGGUAGUGUAUUUGAGGAACCUCACUUUUAAACUGAACAACCUGAAAACGGAACAAUUUUUUUUUUAUCAAGAAAUCAAAUUUUUAUUCAGAGAAUUAAUAUGAGGAGGCACAAAUGCUUCUCCAUCUUCAAACUGAAUGAAAUCGAUAAGGAAUUUCUCAACACUGAAUGAAAUGAAAACUACUUUUGUAUCAUAGGUCGUAAGAAGUUUUAUAAUUAGAGUAAUUUUACCCUCCCCCCCCCCAAAAAAAGAAACAAUGUAAGGGCAUCAGAAGAGACAGUACCUUCUGUUAUGCAAACUCGUAGCCACGCAUGUCCGAUGAAGGAAGUUGAGUAGUGUCAUGUCUAUUUUGCAGUAUUUGAGUGGGAAGUUGACGCCAGAAAUAAUAUCAUAUACCAGUUUCUUUUCCGUUCAUAACAAACUUUCCUAAUUCAUUAUCACACUUUCAUGACCGCAUGUGCCCAAUUUUUAGAGAAAAGAGAGAAAAUAAUACUUAGGAACACUAUCUUGAUAAAAAAAAGUUGUGUAAACUAUGUUUCUAUUCCGACAUCUUCCCGUCUAUAUGCUCAUUUCUCUCAUGUACAUAAAUCUGUACACCUCAUAUUUUUUUUUAAAGAAAUGUUUGAUACAUAGUUAUACUCAGUGAUUAACAACGUAGUUUCAUAGCUGCCUUUUUUCAAUUAAUUCUAAUGUAGAAUUUCCUUUCCCGAUAUUUAGUUCAUGUUCUUGUAGGCGCUGGAAAACAAAGAGUUGUCUUUAUUUGGCCAAACUUUUUUAUUAUAGUGAAAUAUAGGCGGGACACAGACGAUAAAAUUCAGCCUUUUUUGUUUCGACUGAAAUUUGCUCGUUGCCUUUUUGCAAUUUCAAAGUCAAUCAUUAAAUGUGCACCUUUUUGUAUAGUUUUUGGCUCAAAAUCCACAUUCGUCUUGAAGGAAGUACUUUUUUAAAUUUCCUUAAUGUUUAUAAUUUUCCUUAAUAUAAGAGUAUAAAAAUGUCUUGCCCAGAAAACAAAACUCUAUACAAAAACCUAUAGGGAGUAAUGAAAAAUUUGGUUUGUAUGUUUAUUUUCAAUUUUCUUCUGAGACUGAUUAUAUUAAGGGAAUGUUGCAGGAAACGUGUGUCUAUUUAUAAGUAUCAUAUUUUUGAAAUAUUAUAGAUUGGUGUAUGGAACUAGUUAUACAAUUUAAAAGGUGCUUUGUCAAAAUCUGUUUUUGUUUUCAUCAACCAUUGUCAUUACUUCAACCAUUUUUCUGAAUGCCUCUCUUAAACUACGUCUAUUGUCGUUAAUGCAAUUAAAUGCACAACUCAUUUAAAACAAAAUCUUCUCCAGUCCCACGACUUUAAUUUGCGACUUCUUGUGUGAUUUGAUCGUGUGAGAGAAUUCAAUACUUAUUAAUAAAAUGCCUUGCCGUGUUAUUUAUUUAAAA